Molecule: long non-coding RNA, 287 nt
Filed under: Phascolarctos cinereus (koala)
Lineage: Eukaryota; Metazoa; Chordata; Mammalia; Diprotodontia; Phascolarctidae
Description: lncRNA (ENSPCIG00000035078.1)
Source: RNAcentral
UUUCAAGCUUAGAAUGCAAGCCCACCCCCAGUUAAGGGGGUAAGGGAUAGUGGUGGGUGGCGGUCUCUCUCUCUUUCCACGUGUAUCGGAGGAGCAGACAGCCAUCUCGUGAGAUUGUAAUAAAGUCCUUCACGGGGCCAGCUAGGUGGCGCAGUGGCUAGAGCACCGGCCCUGGAGUCAGGAGGACCUGAAUUCAAAACCGGCCUCAGACACAUAACACUUACUAGCUGUGUACCCUGGGCAGCCCUCCUUCGUACCCGCCUCUCCCGAUUCUCGGUUCGAUGUCA